RNAcentral lists this ribosomal RNA (250 nucleotides) under uncultured bacterium. Its description in RNAcentral is "partial 16S ribosomal RNA". It matches the Rfam family "Bacterial small subunit ribosomal RNA", at positions 88 to 339 of the family's 1533-position model. The record is from RNAcentral.
UGAAUUAGCGGCGAACGGGUGAGGAACACGUGAGAAAUCUGCCUUCAACACUGGGAUAACUCCGGGAAACCGGAGCUAAUACCGGAUACUCAAAUCUGGCGGCAUCGCUGGAUUUGGAAAGUUUUUCGGUGAAGGAUGAUCUCGCGGCCUAUCAGCUAGUUGGUGAGGUAAAGGCUCACCAAGGCGACGACGGGUAGCUGGUCUGAGAGGAUGGUCAGCCACACUGGGACUGAGACACGGCCCAGACUCC